RNAcentral lists this ribosomal RNA (497 nucleotides) under uncultured bacterium. RNAcentral describes it as "partial 16S ribosomal RNA". It matches the Rfam family "Bacterial small subunit ribosomal RNA", at positions 28 to 507 of the family's 1533-position model. The record is from RNAcentral.
GAUGAACGCUGGCGGCGUGCCUAAUACAUGCAAGUCGAGCGAACAGACGAGGAGCUUGCUCCUCUGACGUUAGCGGCGGACGGGUGAGUAACACGUGGAUAACCUACCUAUAAGACUGGGAUAACUUCGGGAAACCGGAGCUAAUACCGGAUAAUAUAUUGAACCGCAUGGUUCAAUAGUGAAAGACGGUUUUGCUGUCACUUAUAGAUGGAUCCGCGCCUCAUUAGCUAGUUGGUAAGUUAACGUCUUACCAAGGCGACGAUGCGUAGCCGACCUGAGAGGGUGAUCGGCCACACUGGAACUGAGACACGGUCCAGCCUCCUACGGGAGGCAGCAGUAGGGAAUCUUCCGCAAUGGGCGAAAGCCUGACGGAGCAACGCCGCGUGAGUGAUGAAGGUCUUCGGAUCGUAAAACUCUGUUAUUAGGGAAGAACAAAUGUGUAAGUAACUAUGCACGUCUUGACGGUACCUAAUCAGAAAGCCACGGCUAACUACGUG